RNAcentral lists this ribosomal RNA (2729 nucleotides) under Helianthus annuus (common sunflower). Its description in RNAcentral is "bacterial LSU rRNA". The stretch from base 1257 to 2532 matches the Rfam family "Bacterial large subunit ribosomal RNA". Lineage: Eukaryota; Viridiplantae; Streptophyta; Magnoliopsida; Asterales; Asteraceae. The record is from RNAcentral.
ACUAAAAAAAGUGGGGAACAGCGGAGAACCGACUCAAACGAACUACGAUUGGACUCAUUCCAGCGGCAUUGGAACCGGCUCGUUGAACCCUAACUAGGAUCUCUUAACCCUAAACCCUAAAUCCUAACUCCUAAACUCUAAACCCUAAAGCUAAAAAAUAAGGCUAAAACGUAAGCUAAGCCGUAAAAUCUAAACUAUAAACCUUAAAAGCUAAACCUUAAAGGCUAAACCUAAAGCUAAACCCUAAACCCUAAAGCUAAACCCUAAUAUAUUUAGGGUUUAGGGGUUAUAAUUUAGGGUUUAGGGUUAAGAGAUCCUAGUUAGGGUUCAACGAGCCGGUUCCAACGCCGCUGGAAUGAGUCUAAUCGGAGUUCGUUUGAGUCGGUUCCCCACUGUUCCUCACUUUUUUAGUGUUCCCCAAUGAACCUCACACUAUCCAACAAGUAAGUGAUCGCCAUAAGGAAUUAAAAAAUAAAAAACACCGCCUAAUCAAAACCGAACCAAGCCUCAAGACUAGUUCGUAACUUUACAAGAUAAACGCCACAAACUAGGGGGACUUGAUGAGGUUACGUGCAAAGCACCAGACCGAACAUCGUAUACAUCGGAUCGACCAUCAUCCACCAAGGUCAGAACGUUAGUCAUCGAAGACAACAUAUCAUCAGGACAGGCCGAACGGCCUAGGAGAUACGAUCGAUGUAGGGGAUCAACUUUAACUAACCUGGGGCCCACAACUCUAACUGCCUGACAACGACAGGUUUAGCCAUAACUAACUCUGCCACAUCAGCACACCCAAAAGUUAUAAAUACCACACUUAGAUCUCCAAAAAGGGGUAAUGGCUACUUUCUCUCUCUAACUCCCCUCCCUCUUACUGACUUACUCCACAUGCUCCAAUAUUUAUUCUCACGCACGAGCUUGGUCACAGAGAGGCAGCCCUCCUUGUGACGAGGCUAAUGGUGUGUUUCUUCCUCUGUUGUGAUCUUACAGGUUACACAAAGACUUCUGAGACUCUGUUCUUCGAACAGCUCGGACCAACUGGUUAUUGAGUCUUCAGGAACCGGAACUCAUUGUAGGUAGUCUAGUUAAUUUGGAAAUUGUGGGGGUUGUGAAUAUUGCGAGUGUUGUGAAAAUUGGGUUGAGAAUUAUAGGUAUUGUGAUUGUUGGGUUGUGAAUUGUAAGUGUUGGGGUGGUUGCCUUGGAACAGCUACAUGUCUUUUUUUUUCGGUUGGAAAACGACUUCUUUCUUUGUGUGGGAUUCGUUGAGAGAGCUUAAACCCUAUUUUUUUUUUCAAAAAAAAUAGAGAGUAAUUUGUUGAGAGAGGUGAGAAUUUUGUAAAAAAAAAUGAGUUUAAUAUGUAUUAAUAUGGUAAAAUAAAUUAAUAUUUUUUUAGAAAAAGUUGUUGUCAAAUGGCUCUAUGAAAGAUUAACUUCUUAAAUGAAAAGUCGUUCCCAAAUGGCUUUAUCAAAGAUUAAAUAGUCGAGUUGUAUUAGGAGAAGCCAACUACUCAAGAUUUUUUAGGCACACCUCGCAACACAUGGGGAGGUGUUCUCGCAAGUUCCUGUGGGUCCCAGAUGUGUGCAAGAGUUUCACUAUGUUCCCCUAAGUUAUUAGAGACUAGGCUCGGGCGACUGUUUACUAAAAACACAUGUCUCUUCAAAGUCGUAAGACCAUGAUGGGGGAUGAUGCCCGCCCAUUGCCGGAAGGUCAAGGAAGUUGGUGAUUUGAUGACAGGGGUGCUGUCGGCCGAAGCCUCGGUGAACGGCGGUCAUAACUAUAACUGUCCUAAGGCAGCAAAAUUCCUUGUCGGGUAAGUUCUGAUCCAGUACGAAAGGCGUAACUAUCUGGGCUCCGUCUCGGAGAGAGGCUCGGUGAAAUAGACAUGUCUGUGAAGAUGCGGACUAUCUCCACCUGGACAGAAAGACUCUAUGAAGCUUCACACUGUUCCCUUGGAUUGGCUUUGGGCCUUUCCUGCGCAGCUUAGGUAGAAGGCGAAGAGGGCUUCCUUCCGGGGGAUGGGUGUGAGCCAUCAGGAAGAGCUAUAAUUCUAACCUUAUGUUAGGACGUACGGGCCAAGGGACAGUCUCAGGUAGACAGUUUCUAUGGGGCGUAGGCCUCCGGAAAGGUAACGGGGGCGUGCAAAGGUUUCCUCGGGCCGGACGGAGAUUGGCCCUCGAGUGCAAAGGCAGAAGGAAGCUUGACUGCAAGACCCAACCCUCGAGCAGGGACGAAAGUCGGCCUUAGUGAUCCGACGGUGCUGAGUGGAAGGAUCGUCGCUUAACGGAUAAAAGUUACUCUAGGGAUAACAAGUUGAUCUUCCCAAAGAGCUCACAUUGACGAGAGGUUUGGCACCUCGAUGUCGGCUCUUCGCCACCUGGGGCUGUAGUAUGUUUCAAGGGUUCGGUUGUUCGCCCAUUAAAGUGGUACGUGAGCUGGGUUCAAAACGUCAUGACAAAAGCCAAUUUUAACACGCCGUUUACUCGGCCAGCACGAUUUGCACCAUUAAUUGUAAAAGCAUUUUUAAAAAGUCUUUCAAUAUAAGUUUCAUCCAUAAACUUGCAUGUCAUGUGACAAAUUUGAAUGACUAUUCAAGCUCUACGAAAAGACUUUACUGAAAUAUUCUCAUAGGAUCUAGUAAGAAUAUGAUAAAAAAAUAUGCUUUUUUAACUUAGAUAAAGACAAAUUAAUAAGAACUUUGUAAGCCAUGCCCUUCAUAAGCCCUAAAGAAGAAGAA